UGUUGCGGCGUUCUACGUGUCGUUAACCCAUGCCUUUUCCCCUGGCAGGGUCCCCCGCAUGUGAAUGCUGCAUGUGACCCGAACUGCUAACGCGUCUGGAGAAAGUUGGACAUUGUGUUGCUCGGCGUACCUACCUGGAAAGAGUUUUUUACGGUCAGUUGGUCGUUACCAACUUCUCUGCUGCCACACACGCACUGCUGACAAUAGAUGUAGAAAGAAACGACCCAGUUGUUUAUUCCCAAUGUGUCAGUAGUGACGAGACAUUGCUAGUGGUGGCGGAGGCCACAUCAGUAAAAAACUCUUCCUCUUGCCAGUAGCUUAGACCAUUAACUAACCCAUUAACAAACGUUGACUUCCAGUCUCCAGACCCAUGUGCGUUGUCAUAUCAUCCUUCUUGACAUCAGUAGUUCGAAACUGUCUCUGUCAUCCACUAACUCCCACUGAUUGAAAGCAAGGUCACCAAAAUGGCAGAAGGUGGCGAACCUGCUGAUGGAGUUGACCGUCUCACAUCCC
Molecule: long non-coding RNA, 513 nt
Organism: Amphibalanus amphitrite
Lineage: Eukaryota; Metazoa; Arthropoda; Thecostraca; Balanomorpha; Balanidae
Exons: 2
Source: RefSeq, a predicted model, not a curated record